Molecule: ribosomal RNA, 496 nt
Filed under: uncultured bacterium
Lineage: Bacteria
Description: partial 16S ribosomal RNA
Rfam family: Bacterial small subunit ribosomal RNA
Source: RNAcentral
AUGAACGCUGGCGGCGUGCCUAAUACAUGCAAGUCGAGCGAACAGACGAGGAGCUUGCUCCUCUGGCGUUAGCGGCGGACGGGUGGGUAACACGUGGAUAACCUACCUAUAAGACUGGGAUAACUUCGGGAAACCGGAGCUAAUACCGGAUAAUAUAUUGAACCGCAUGGUUCAAUAGUGAAAGACGGUUUUGCUGUCACUUAUAGAUGGAUCCGCGCCGCAUUAGCUAGUUGGUAAGGUAACGGCUUACCAAGGCAACGAUGCGUAGCCGACCUGAGAGGGUGAUCGGCCACACUGGAACUGAGACACGGUCCAGACUCCUACGGGAGGCAGCAGUAGGGAAUCUUCCGCAAUGGGCGAAAGCCUGACGGAGCAACGCCGCGUGAGUGAUGAAGGUCUUCGGAUCGUAAAACUCUGUUAUUAGGGAAGAACAAAUGUGUAAGUAACUAUGCACGUCUUGACGGUACCUAAUCAGAAAGCCACGGCUAACUACGUG